This is an unclassified non-coding RNA of Crocodylus porosus (Australian saltwater crocodile), 63 nucleotides long. Lineage: Eukaryota; Metazoa; Chordata; Crocodylia; Crocodylidae. The record is from Ensembl.
GUGAAAGUUUCAUUCGACCUGAACAACAUUCAGAUUAAAUAUAUGGAUGAGGAUAAUGAUGAG